UGAAGGAAAAAAGUAUCCAUUACUAUCAAACGUUUGUUUCGCUGACAUAGAUGGCGCCAACUCUGGUCUACGAACUUUCAAUUUUGGGCUAAAAUUACGCUCGUAAGUAGUGUUUUUUAGUUAUUAUUUGUUUAUUUCAUUUAUUUAUCUAAACUUUAUUGCAUUUCAUUGUCCAAUUAAUUGGGAACGUAAGGUAAUUUGGCUCUAGAGCCUUAAAUAUUGUUAGAAAUCCCCGAUUUUGAAAUUUGGUAGUUAGCAAUAUUGCAGCUACCGUGCAAUUGAACCAUAAAGGCAAAUUUUCUUGUUUAUAAUUAUUAUGGUGUUGAAAGUGAGUAAAUAUGUACUUAUGUAAGCUGUGUUAUUAAAACAUGUCUGUUUAUCUAACAAUUUAAAAUGUGCCAAACCUCCGACUAAAGUCCAAACCAAAGUCAGACUCUCGCUUCUUCUUCUUCCUGAUACAUGCACUUUUUUGUCAGCCUUCUUCCAUUCAUUCUUUCCACAUCUUCUGCCUUAACCAACUUGACUAUUACAACAACAUCCCUCUAUAUAUUACUCGGUUAUUUACUGAUAUUACGUUUUUUUUUAGUUUAUUAAUUAUUGUAUAUGCAUAAUAUAUUUGUAUUUAUAUUUAUGUAUUUUAUAAGUGUUGUAUGAACUUGAUCAGUUGUUUUCGAUUAUUCUAAUCAUUAUAAUAUUUCCUUCUCCUUGCACCAUUUUUACAUGUCUAAUCAUAGACAGAUGAUCGUAGACCAGAGUAGGCGCCAUCUAUGUCAGCGAAACAUACAUUUGAUUGUAAUUAAUACUUUUUCCUUCAUAAACAUAGUAAAUUGAUGCGUAUAUGUAUUAUAGUUAGAGAUUUAUAAGCCACCAAGCUAUGUAUAUCAUUUCACUACAUCUGGUUUUCGGUCUGAUCCCUCUACUACGGGUUUUUAAAGAUGUUCACCUAAAGUUUCAUGUUAAAAACUGGCACUUUGUGAUGUAGUGUAGGUAAUGAGUGGAUAUCCGGUUGCUAAAAAGUAAUAUUUGCCAGUUGCAGCAAGAAGGAGAGCGAUUUUAAGUAAAAUGUUGGAACUAGACUAUAUAUCCGAUCCAAUAUCGGAUGUAGGACCUAAUCCUAUAUGUUUUAGGCGCCGUUGGCGUUUGACUUUGUCAUCCUUCCUACAUUACAUCCUAUAUG
Long non-coding RNA from Leguminivora glycinivorella, 1177 nucleotides. RefSeq lists it as uncharacterized. The transcript has 2 exons. The record is from RefSeq and is a predicted model, not a curated record. NCBI's taxonomy places the organism in Eukaryota, Metazoa, Arthropoda, Insecta, Lepidoptera, Tortricidae.